Molecule: ribosomal RNA, 146 nt
Filed under: Vallitaleaceae bacterium
Lineage: Bacteria; Bacillati; Bacillota; Clostridia; Lachnospirales; Vallitaleaceae
Description: partial 16S ribosomal RNA
Rfam family: Bacterial small subunit ribosomal RNA
Source: RNAcentral
UUAACAUGAGAGUUUGAUCCUGGCUCAGGAUGAACGCUGGCGGCGUGCUUAACACAUGCAAGUCGAGCGGAAGUGCAGCAAUGCACUUUAGCGGCGGACGGGUGAGUUACGCGUGGGUAACCUGCCUUAUACUGGGGGAUUACAUA